CCUACGGGUGGCAGCAGUGAGGAAUAUUGGUCAAUGGACGAGAGUCUGAACCAGCCAAGUAGCGUGAAGGAUGACUGCCCUAUGGGUUGUAAACUUCUUUUAUAUGGGAAUAAAACGUUCCACGUGUGGGAUUUUGUAUGUACCAUAUGAAUAAGGAUCGGCUAACUCCGUGCCAGCAGCCGCGGUAAUACGGAGGAUCCGAGCGUUAUCCGGAUUUAUUGGGUUUAAAGGGAGCGUAGGUGGAUUGUUAAGUCAGUUGUGAAAGUUUGCGGCUCAACCGUAAAAUUGCAGUUGAAACUGGCAGUCUUGAGUACAGUAGAGGUGAGCGGAAUUCGUGGUGUAGCGGUGAAAUGCUUAGAUAGCACGAAGAACUCCGAUUGCGAAGGCAGUUCACUGGACUGCAACUGACACUGAGGCUCGAAAGUGUGGGUAUCAAACAGGAUUAGAUACCCCUGUAGUC
RNAcentral lists this ribosomal RNA (460 nucleotides) under uncultured bacterium. Its description in RNAcentral is "partial 16S ribosomal RNA". It matches the Rfam family "Bacterial small subunit ribosomal RNA", at positions 338 to 795 of the family's 1533-position model. The record is from RNAcentral.